Long non-coding RNA from Frankliniella occidentalis (western flower thrips), 1415 nucleotides. RefSeq lists it as uncharacterized. The record is from RefSeq and is a predicted model, not a curated record. The transcript is spliced from 4 exons. NCBI's taxonomy places the organism in Eukaryota, Metazoa, Arthropoda, Insecta, Thysanoptera, Thripidae.
GGAGACACGAUGCAAUGAAUGACAGUUCUCUCAUUGAAUUUGUGCUAACUGUGUCAACAUGUCACAUUGUCAACGUCGCUAUGGCAGGAGUGCUUCAGCUUUAUUCCGAUGAGCUAGCUAAGAGGACAAGCCUGGGGCCGCUGAGCGUUACGGGCGGGGUAGCAGUUCAGUAGCACUGGGAACAGUAGGAGACCCGGGUCGCCGAUGCGGCUCCCAGUCGUCCAGGUGAAGGGCUUCGGUGGAACAAGUAUUUCUCUGGGUGUGGACCCUUGUUGGCUGUUCUUACUUUCUGUGGUGAGCUGGCUGUAGGGCGUUGCCUGCUCGCUACGUGGCUUGUCUGUCCCUUCAGGACGCCCCCCGGACAACACUCGCGUACCUGCCUGCUGCCACUGCAGAGCUUGUCUGAUGCGCCUUCAGCGUGGCGUGGGGCCAUGGGGCCCAGGCCUCACGCCUAGGACGGAGCUGUGCGUGGAGAGGUGGGCCCUUCAGGGCGGUGGGCGCGCCCCCUCGGGCAAAUAUCACUGCGGUUCAAGUUUUUGAAAAGAACUCCACGAGGCGACGUGUCCGGUGCGAUGCGAGAUCCGCCGAGCCCCGGCCAGCGGGCCGUUUGCGCUUUACUUGUGUCUUACGGGAAUCUCGUUCGGCACGACGCUCAAAGCCUUUCUAGUUCCAGGCACACCAACUCCAGGAAGCACCGGACGUGGCUACGCGGGCCACCAGGAUCACCACGUCGCGCGGCUCCACCACCAGCAACAGCCAGCAUCGCAACCACCGUGGGACUUCCCCCACCAUAGCCGGAGGAGCGCCCCAGGACCCCGCGGCCGGGACACUCGCGAGCGCAGAGGACAAGACUGCGUUGUUGGGGCGCGUUUUACAGCCGGACACGGUUCGCCGCUGCGAGGCGCCCGGUCCAGGCUUUGGUAACGAGGGGCUUUGUCGGCAAACGAGUAUUUCUACGGAUGUCCAGCUUCGUGGUUGUCCUGCUUGCUGCCGUGUGAGCUGGCUGUGUGCCGCCGUGCCCCGACGGUGCGCUCGUCUCUCCCUUCAGGCACUCGGGGCCGGCCCUUAGUGUGACGAGCGUCUCGUACCCGCCCUCCAGCGCUACCGCCGCUGCCCCGCACCUUCAGUGCAGGUGGGGGGCGAGCCGGCUCGCUCACCAGGGGCGGCGGUUGGUACGUGGAGUCGGCGGGGGUGGCUGGCGUGUUCACGGGCAAAUAUCGCAUUUGGUGGACAAGUUUUUAAAAUGGACGCACGUUCGAGGCACGACGUCUGGCUGAAAUAGGAGUUUGCCAAUAACGCCUCUCCCUUGAAAGUUACUUGAUUUGUUCUGUCGGCUCGUUGCUCAAACUCUCCCUUGUUCCAGGCAUAGUCUGAGUAUUGCAGCAGAACUGCGAGCGCACGGCCGAAACCUACAA